AUUGAACGCUGGCGGCAUGCUUUACACAUGCAAGUCGAACGGUAACAGGCCGCAAGGUGCUGACGAGUGGCGAACGGGUGAGUAAUGCAUCGGAACGUGCCCAGUCGUGGGGGAUAACUACUCGAAGGAGUAGCUAAUACCGCAUACGAUCUAUGGAUGAAAGCGGGGGACCGUAAGGCCUCGCGCGAUUGGAGCGGCCGAUGUCAGAUUAGGUAGUUGGUGGGGUAAAGGCUCACCAAGCCAACGAUCUGUAGCUGGUCUGAGAGGACGACCAGCCACACUGGGACUGAGACACGGCCCAGACUCCUACGGGAGGCAGCAGUGGGGAAUUUUGGACAAUGGGCGCAAGCCUGAUCCAGCAAUGCCGCGUGCAGAAGAAGGCCUUCGGGUUGUAAACUGCUUUUGUACGGAACGAAACGGCUCUGGUUAAUACCCGGGGCUAAUGACGGUACCGUAAGAAUAAGCACCGGCUAACUACGUG
Molecule: ribosomal RNA, 481 nt
Filed under: uncultured bacterium
Lineage: Bacteria
Description: partial 16S ribosomal RNA
Rfam family: Bacterial small subunit ribosomal RNA
Source: RNAcentral